This 433-nucleotide ribosomal RNA is filed under the name uncultured bacterium. Its description in RNAcentral is "partial 16S ribosomal RNA". It matches the Rfam family "Bacterial small subunit ribosomal RNA", at positions 29 to 507 of the family's 1533-position model. The record is from RNAcentral.
AACGAACGCUGGCGGCAUGCCUAACACAUGCAAGUCGAACGAGACCUUCGGGUCUAGUGGCGCACGGGUGCGUAACGCGUGGGAACCUGCCCUUAGGUUCGGAAUAACUCCCCGAAAGGGGUGCUAAUACCGGAUAAUGUCUUCGGACCAAAGAUUUAUCGCCUUUGGAUGGGCCCGCGUUGGAUUAGCUAGUUGGUAGGGUAAAAGCCUACCAAGGCGACGAUCCAUAGCUGGUCUGAGAGGAUGAUCAGCCACACUGGGACUGAGACACGGCCCAGAAUCCUACGGGAGGGAGCAGUGGGGAAUAUUGGACAAGGGGCGAAAGCCUGAUCCAGCAAUGCCGCGUGAGUGAUGAAGGCCGUAGGGUUGUAAAGCUCUUUUACCCGGGAUGAUAAUGACAGUACCGGGAGAAUAAGCUCCGGCUAACUCCGUG